This 569-nucleotide long non-coding RNA is filed under the name Rhinopithecus bieti (black snub-nosed monkey). RNAcentral's name for it is "lncRNA (ENSRBIG00000045367.1)". Lineage: Eukaryota; Metazoa; Chordata; Mammalia; Primates; Cercopithecidae. The record is from RNAcentral.
CUCUCUCUCUCUCACUUUCUCCUUUUCUCCCUUCCUUCCUUCUUUUAUUUCUUUUUCACUUUCAGACUUCCACUGGUGCUCAGGAUACAUGGAGCAGCAUCAGGGGAGUAAGGAAAAGUCUGGAGCUCUCUGAUCAUUUCAGAGACCUCUCCUGGGGCUCACGGGUUAGGGCAAACCACAAGCCCAUGGCUGCUACACAGAAAUGUGGACCAGCCCUUCUACUGAUAUGGAGAAGCCAAGCCCAGAAGAUUCAUUUGACCAUUACUAAGCAAUAGAGGAAAAUGAGGAUAGUGCCUGACAGCACAUGAAGCUGACCCAAGCUGGCCCUGUGUCCCAGAAGGGUUAGAAGACAACUCAUAUAGCAGUUAAUAAAGGACAAGAAAGCUCUUUUGAUAUCUCCUUAUUUGGAAUCCCAAAGCAUAUGACUCUAACACUGCUCUCUACUAAAGGACAAAUAUUGGGCAAGGCACAACUUCUGGAGCUGCCCUGCAUGGCUGUGCAGAGGUCCCUGAAAGGUCACCUGCUGUGUGUCUUCCAGGGUCCCUGUAAGAGAGUAGACAGAGAAGCCA